UUACACAGAAAACAAAACCGUGGAUUGCUUGUCCCUUUCAGUAAAGUACUGAUGGCUUGGGAAUAACUGCAUUAAGCAUCUAGUUACCAUGUACCCUGUACAGAGUGACAAAAUGGCCAGUGUAUAUUGGUUAUCAACAAUUAUGCACAUUUUUGUACUGAACUCUUGUCUCCUACAAUACCAAAAGUACUUGAGAAAAAAAUACUAAUUGUUCAUGUGACUUGUGGUAACUGUCCACUGGCUACAUUUAGGCAUCAAAAGGAUAUGUCUGCUCAUUUAAUUUUAUAUUUGUAAUUUGGCC
Molecule: non-coding RNA, 301 nt
Organism: Pelobates cultripes (western spadefoot toad)
Lineage: Eukaryota; Metazoa; Chordata; Amphibia; Anura; Pelobatidae
Source: the annotation of a GenBank genome assembly